RNAcentral lists this long non-coding RNA (242 nucleotides) under Medicago truncatula (barrel medic). RNAcentral describes it as "long non-coding RNA (MTRU_LNC007708)". The record is from RNAcentral. Lineage: Eukaryota; Viridiplantae; Streptophyta; Magnoliopsida; Fabales; Fabaceae.
AACAGGCGCGACAGAAGAUUCAGUGGAUUUGGGAGCGGGUAACAGAGGCAAGCGUUGUGAGAAAGUGGAUUGGAAAGAGAGGUUGUGAGAAGGAAAACGAGAAGAGAAAGGUUGAUGAGAAAUAGAGAAAUGAGGUUUUAUUGAGCAAUGGGUUGUGAAAGAAGAACAGAGAGUUGAAAGUGUAGAAGCAGUUGCAGAAGCCAUUUUGAAGAAGAGAGAACUUCCUCUCUCUCUCUCUCAAC